CGGGGUCGUCCCUGCGUGUGCCGGGCGUGCUGGCGUGGAACGGUCGUUGCGCCCUUUUUUGGGCGGGUACGGGCAUGCUGUUGGGUUCCCUGGCCGCCACGGCCCCCGGAGGGGGGUCGGCGUACAGGUGCCCGCCGUGGCCGGCUGUCCCCGUGUGGGGUUGGUUGGUUGUGGUGUGGCGUGGUGGUUUGAGAACUGGAUAGUGGACGCGAGCGGACCAUGCCGUUGUUGUACGGUUGUGGUCUGCUUGUACUGAUGUAUUUCGACCGGGUCCCCUCUUGUUGGGGGGUCUGGUUGUUGUUUGAUCGUUUUGUGAUCGCAGAGUGUUGAUGAUCUGUCGUCCGGUGUUCGUUGGUCUUGCGGGUUUCCCCCGUGUGUGGGGUUGCUUGCAAGGGCGUAUGGUGGAUGCCUUGGCACCAGA
RNAcentral lists this unclassified non-coding RNA (421 nucleotides) under Bifidobacterium boum. RNAcentral's name for it is "partial 16S-23S ribosomal RNA intergenic spacer". Lineage: Bacteria; Bacillati; Actinomycetota; Actinomycetes; Bifidobacteriales; Bifidobacteriaceae. The record is from RNAcentral.